Long non-coding RNA from Sander lucioperca (pikeperch), 111 nucleotides. RefSeq lists it as uncharacterized. Lineage: Eukaryota; Metazoa; Chordata; Actinopteri; Perciformes; Percidae. The record is from RefSeq and is a predicted model, not a curated record. The transcript has 3 exons.
AUUUGAUAUUUUAAAACUCUUCAAACACAAUUCAUUUGGAUACAAGCGUUGCAUUUUGGAAGAUAGACGGGAUUCUGAACAGCGACGCCCGCGCUGCACACACUACACUCG